RNAcentral lists this long non-coding RNA (341 nucleotides) under Fukomys damarensis (Damara mole-rat). Its description in RNAcentral is "lncRNA (ENSFDAG00000028427.1)". The record is from RNAcentral. Lineage: Eukaryota; Metazoa; Chordata; Mammalia; Rodentia; Bathyergidae.
CUCAGAGAUAAAAUUAAAUUACAUGAGCACUAAAUUACAUGAUGCAUAAUGCUAGGAAAGGGGUUAGGAAGCUCACACAAUGGUCCAUCUAAGGUCACACAGCACUGUGCUUGACUUCCACAUGGCUUAUUGUAUUUAUCUUCACAGGUAAUGAGAGGAAGAGGAAAGAAACUAUGUGUAAUAGUUGAAGGGUGUACAAUUAAUUCUCCAAAUCAGGCCAUUUUCACAAGGGUCAAGUCACCUCAACAGUCCAGUCCAGGAGAAGAUCCACGAUGGAGAGAUUCUCAGCAGUUUAGGUAUAGCAGUUCCUCUGGUUCCAUUUGAAAAAUGAAAACACACCA